AGCCUCAAUGCAGUCGAGCGGCGCGGGUCUUCGGGAAGCCGGCGAGCGGCGGACGGGUGAGUAAUGCCUAGGAAUCUGCCUGGUAGUGGGGGAUAACUCGGGGAAACUCGAGCUAAUACCGCAUACGUCCUACGGGAGAAAGUGGGGGAUCUUCGGACCUCACGCUAUCAGAUGAGCCUAGGUCGGAUUAGCUAGUUGGUGAGGUAAAGGCUCACCAAGGCGACGAUCCGUAACUGGUCUGAGAGGAUGAUCAGUCACACUGGAACUGAGACACGGUCCAGACUCCUACGGGAGGCAGCAGUGGGGAAUAUUGGACAUGGGCGAGGCCUGAUCCAUCCAUGCCGCGUGUGUGAAUAUAGUCUUCAGAUUGUAAAACCUUUAGUUUGCAGGAAUGGCAUUACCUUAAAAUCAUUAAGAGUAGGAAGCUCCCAGCAUAGUUUCCAAUGGUCUACCUACUCCAGCCCCCUCUUAGGACAUCACCACAGAGCAGACGAUUUUUUAUCUUCUACCCUUUUUUUUAAACUAAUUAUUACAUUUUUUAAUCCAUCACUCAUUAUAGUUUAACACGAUCAACACCUUUCUUUGUAUUCCUUCUAAUUUUCUAGCUAGUUACCUUUGUGCGCAUCGCUUAUACGAUAUCAUACAUCUACAGUAGAUUGAUAUGUCUCAUACGUAUCACAUAAAUUGUCUCGCAAUGCGCCUGCACAUGUCACGCUCUUUCAUCCUUCUAUACGUCUGUGCUCUACUCACCCACACCCUACACGCUGUACAGCUACACUACUCGCAUUCUGCUCCGAGUCACUCUGAUAUAUUACGAAAUAUCAGCACACUCUUCACUGUUUCUAAUACAAUAUAGAUAUACGAGCGCUAAUAUAGUAUUCUGCUACAUGACAUCUACUUUUAUGUGUGCAUGAACUAACACUCGUAUGACGUAGAGCUGCGGGACGACAGAGAACUGUGAGUACUGAGAGCGUACUGACUUUUUUCUCGCAGCUUCGUAUUCUUGUACAAUGUCUAGCAUAGAGUGAUAGUACGUCUAAUACAACCUAUAUACUGACUCUGACAUCGAUCAUCAAUCAUCUUUGAUCCACAACCUAUA
Molecule: ribosomal RNA, 1099 nt
Filed under: Ectopseudomonas oleovorans
Lineage: Bacteria; Pseudomonadati; Pseudomonadota; Gammaproteobacteria; Pseudomonadales; Pseudomonadaceae
Description: Pseudomonas oleovorans partial 16S ribosomal RNA
Rfam family: Bacterial small subunit ribosomal RNA (bases 1-462)
Source: RNAcentral